This 253-nucleotide ribosomal RNA is filed under the name uncultured bacterium. RNAcentral's name for it is "partial 16S ribosomal RNA". It matches the Rfam family "Bacterial small subunit ribosomal RNA", at positions 524 to 776 of the family's 1533-position model. The record is from RNAcentral.
UACGAAGGGGGCUAGCGUUGUUCGGAAUCACUGGGCGUAAAGGGCGCGUAGGCGGCUUUGUAAGUCGGGGGUGAAAGCCUGUGGCUCAACCACAGAAUUGCCUUCGAUACUGCAUGGCUUGAGACCGGAAGAGGUUAGUGGAACUGCGAGUGUAGCGGUGAAAUGCGCAGAUAUCAGGAAGAACACCCGUGGCGAAGGCGGUGCUCUGGGACGGUACUGACGCUGAGACGCGAAAGCGUGGGGAGCGAACAGG